RNAcentral lists this ribosomal RNA (460 nucleotides) under uncultured bacterium. RNAcentral's name for it is "partial 16S ribosomal RNA". It matches the Rfam family "Bacterial small subunit ribosomal RNA", at positions 338 to 795 of the family's 1533-position model. The record is from RNAcentral.
CCUACGGGAGGCAGCAGUGAGGAAUAUUGGUCAAUGGUCGUAAGACUGAACCAGCCAAGUAGCGUGCAGGAUGACGGCCCUAUGGGUUGUAAACUUCUUUUAUGUGGGGAUAAAAUGUGCCACGUGUGAUGUUUUGUAUGUACCGCAUGAAUAAGGAUCGGCUAAUUCCGUGCCAGCAGCCGCGGUAAUACGGAGGAUCCGGGCGUUAUCCGGAUUUAUUGGGUUUAAAGGGAGCGUAGGCCGAUUGUUAAGUGUGCCGUGAAAUGCCGUGGCUCAACCGUAGAACUGCAGUUGAAACUGGCAGGCUUGAGUACACGAGAGGUGGGCGGAAUUCGUGGUGUAGCGGUGAAAUGCUUAGAUAUCACGAAGAACUCCGAUUGCGAAGGCAGCUCACGGCAGCGCAACUGACGCUGAGGCUCGAAAGCGCGGGUAUCGAACAGGAUUAGAUACCCCUGUAGUC